GGCGGGAUGGCUCAGUUGAUAGAGCAUGAGACUCUUAAUCACAGGUUCAUGGGUUUGAGCCCCACUUUGGGUG
RNAcentral lists this transfer RNA (73 nucleotides) under Podarcis lilfordi (Lilford's wall lizard). RNAcentral describes it as "tRNA.Lys". The stretch from base 7 to 66 matches the Rfam family "tRNA", at positions 7 to 64 of the family's 71-position model. From Rfam's summary of the family: Transfer RNA (tRNA) molecules are approximately 80 nucleotides in length. Their secondary structure includes four short double-helical elements and three loops (D, anti-codon, and T loops). Further hydrogen bonds mediate the characteristic L-shaped molecular structure. tRNAs have two regions of fundamental functional importance: the anti-codon, which is responsible for specific mRNA codon recognition, and the 3' end, to which the tRNAs corresponding amino acid is attached (by aminoacyl-tRNA synthetases). tRNAs cope with the degeneracy of the genetic code in two manners: having more than one tRNA (with a specific anti-codon) for a particular amino acid; and 'wobble' base-pairing, i.e. permitting non-standard base-pairing at the 3rd anti-codon position. The record is from RNAcentral. Lineage: Eukaryota; Metazoa; Chordata; Lepidosauria; Squamata; Lacertidae.